CUACGGAGGGUGCAAGCGUUACUCGGAAUCACUGGGCGUAAAGCGCGCGCAGGCGGCUAUGUAAGUUGGAUGUGAAAGCCUACGGCUCAACCGUAGAACUGCAUCCAAAACUAUUUAGCUAGAGUGUGGGAGAGGAAGAUGGAAUUAGUUGUGUAGGGGUAAAAUCCGUAGAGAUAACUAGGAAUACCAAAAGCGAAGGCAAUCUUCUGGAACACUACUGACGCUGAGGCGCGAAAGCGUGGGGAGCAAACGGGAUUAGAUACCCUAGUAGUCC
Molecule: ribosomal RNA, 274 nt
Filed under: uncultured bacterium
Lineage: Bacteria
Description: partial 16S ribosomal RNA
Rfam family: Bacterial small subunit ribosomal RNA
Source: RNAcentral